RNAcentral lists this long non-coding RNA (600 nucleotides) under Panax ginseng (ginseng). RNAcentral's name for it is "long non-coding RNA (PGIN_LNC008183)". Lineage: Eukaryota; Viridiplantae; Streptophyta; Magnoliopsida; Apiales; Araliaceae. The record is from RNAcentral.
UGUUUUAAGAUUUCAUUCUCAGCCUCAAGCUUGGAGAAAAGGUUAGUACUUAGAAGGGCUGUUUCAUGCUCUUCUUGAACUUUCUUUUUCUCCUCUUGAAGAAGUGAAUGAUCCUUAGGCAAAACUCUGAACCACUUCAUGUAUUGAUGUCGAUCAGUGGUUAUGCCAUUCAGUGCAGUUCUUAAAUUAUUUAUGUCUACAUCAGGAGAGUUGAAGUCAAAUACCUCAUCGAGACUUACUUCAUAUAUGUUGGAGUUUUGUUUGUCCUUUGCAUGUUUGUCCAUUAGGCACAGAUUAGCCAUUUGUGGUUCUUCAUCAUCUCUAGAAUCAGGAUUGGAGUCAUUGUCUGAAUCACUCCACGAUCCUCCAGCUACCAGGCCUUUGUCUCUCUUCUGAGGCCUUUUGUUACCUUUGUAUUCCUUCUUUGCAUGUGAUUUCUUCUUUAGUUCUUCUCUGAGAGGUUUGUUGCUAUUGGCAAUGAAGUGGCCAGGCUUCUUGCAGUUGUAACAUAGAUCAUUUAUUUGCUCCUGGCUACUGUAAUUGCUGACCUUCUUUGGCUUGCUGGUUUUGCCUUGACGUAUGAACCUUCUUAGUCUUUUU